Molecule: ribosomal RNA, 1154 nt
Filed under: Candidatus Profftia adelgis
Lineage: Bacteria; Pseudomonadati; Pseudomonadota; Gammaproteobacteria; Enterobacterales; Enterobacteriaceae
Description: bacterial SSU rRNA
Rfam family: Bacterial small subunit ribosomal RNA
Source: RNAcentral
AAGUGGGGGACCUUCGGGCCUCACGCCAUCAGAUGUACCCAGAUGAGAUUAGCUAGUAGGUGGGGUAAUGGCUCACCUAGGCUAUGAUCUCUAGCUGGUCUGAGAGGAUGACCAGCCACACUGGAACUGAGACACGGUCUAGACUCCUACGGGAGGCAGCAGUGGGGAAUAUUGCACAAUGGGCGCAAGCCUGAUGCAGCCAUGCCGCGUGUAUGAAGAAAGCCUUCGGGUUGUAAAGUACUUUCAGCAAGAAAGAAAGUAUUUUAGUUAAUAACUAAAAUAAUUGACGUUACUUGCAAAAGAAGCACCGGCUAACUCCGUGCCAGCAGCCGCGGUAAUACGGAGGGUGCGAGCGUUAAUCGGAAUUACUGGGCUUAAAGCGUACGUAGGCGGUUAAUUAAGUUAGAUGUGAAAUCCCCGAGCUUAACUUGGGAAUUGCAUUUAAAACUGGUUAGCUAGAGUCUUGUAGAGGGGGGUAGAAUUCUAGGUGUAGCGGUGAAAUGCGUAGAUAUCUAGAGGAAUACCAGUGGCGAAGGCGGCCCCCUGGACAAAGACUGACGCUCAGGUACGAAAGCGUGGGGAGCAAACAGGAUUAGAUACCCUGGUAGUCCACGCCGUAAACGAUGUCGACUUGGAGGUUGUGCCCUUGAGGUGUGGCUUCCGGAGCUAACGCGUUAAGUCGACCGCCUGGGGAGUACGGCCGCAAGGCUAAAACUCAAAUGAAUUGACGGGGGCCCGCACAAGCGGUGGAGCAUGUGGUUUAAUUCGAUGCAACGCGAAAAACCUUACCUACUCUUGACAUUCAGAGAAUUUGCUAGAGAUAGCUUAGUGCCUUCGGGAGCUUUGAAACAGGUGCUGCAUGGCUGUCGUCAGCUCGUGUUGUGAAAUGUUGGGUUAAGUCCCGCAACGAGCGCAACCCUUGUCCUUUGUUGCCAGCACGUAAAGGUGGGAACUCAAAGGAGACUGCCGGUGAUAAGCUGGAGGAAGGUGGGGAUGACGUCAAGUCAUCAUGGCCCUUACGAGUAGGGCUACACACGUGCUACAAUGGCAUAUACAAAGAGCAGCAAACUCGCGAGAGCAAGCGAACCUCAUAAAGUAUGUCGUAAUCCGGAUUGGAGUCUGCAACUCGACUCCAUGAAGUCGGAAUCGCUAGA